UGAAUCGUACCAGGGCAGCAGCCCAGAAGUC
This 31-nucleotide non-coding RNA is filed under the name Rattus norvegicus (Norway rat). The record is from RNAcentral. Lineage: Eukaryota; Metazoa; Chordata; Mammalia; Rodentia; Muridae.